GAGAACCCUGGCUCGGGAGAGCGACGCGGGGCCCUCGGGCUGCGGCCGUGGCGCCCUCCUGGCCGGCCCGAGGGCGCGGCUCGCUCUCCUUCCCCAUCUCCUUCUCCAGGACGCCUGCCCUCCCGGCUCCCGAUCCCGAGCAGCGGCUGGCUGGGCCACAUUUUAGCCUUCCAGGAUGGCCAGGCACCAGGCUUGUGGCAAAAGGAGCUGGGAGAGAUUUGGAGCCUGUAGCGUAACUCGAGAGGCUUACCAGCUGUGAACUGUCUCAACCGACCAGAAGCAGAAGAUUCCAAGAAAAGUGUGGACUCAAAGCCAUCUGAUUGAGCGGCUUGUGAAGAGGGCUUUGCAAAGCAUUCCACCAACCCACACUGGAUGCAGAAGUGCAAAAAACUCCUUGUUCGGUAUGACUGAACUUCUACAUGUUGCAUCCUCUAAUUCUCGGUCCUCAAAUAUGAAGAUGACAUAUGGGGUUCAGGAACAUAUUGGUUGCUGCUGGGACAGAUGCUGCUAAGCCACCCAGGACCAGAUGAGGUUUGUUUGUUUGUUUUCAAGGUGCUCUGACUGGUGAAGGCAUGCAGCCUAUGAGACUUCCUGGAAAUCUUCCAAGAAAGCAAACUGUCCUUGUGAUUGUUGAAGGGCUCAGCUAACUCCUUCUGAACCUGGCAAGUCCUUACUAGAGACAGAGAGGCUUGGGAGGGGACA
RNAcentral lists this long non-coding RNA (702 nucleotides) under Rattus norvegicus (Norway rat). RNAcentral describes it as "long non-coding RNA NONRATT015289". The record is from RNAcentral. Lineage: Eukaryota; Metazoa; Chordata; Mammalia; Rodentia; Muridae.